ACGGAGGGUGCGAGCGUUAUUCGGAAUUACUGGGCGUAAAGCGCGUGCAGGCGGGGAGGCAAGUCUGAUGUGAAAGCCCUGGGCUUAACCCGGGAAGUGCAUUGGAAACUGUCUUUCUUGAGUACUGGAGAAGAAGGCGGAAUUUCCGGUGUAGAGGUGAAAUGCGUAGAGAUCGGGAGGAACACCGGUGGCGAAGGCAGCCUUCUGGACGGUUACUGACGCUGAUGCGCGAAAGCGUGGGGAGCAAACAG
Molecule: ribosomal RNA, 251 nt
Filed under: uncultured prokaryote
Description: partial 16S rRNA
Rfam family: Bacterial small subunit ribosomal RNA
Source: RNAcentral